GUGCUCACUUAGGCAGCACAUAUACUAAAAUUGGAAUAAUAACAGGAAGAUGAGCAUGGUACCUGCACAUGGAUGACACAUAAACUAGUCAAGAGUUCCAUAUUUUU
RNAcentral lists this small nuclear RNA (107 nucleotides) under Cebus imitator (Panamanian white-faced capuchin). The record is from RNAcentral. Lineage: Eukaryota; Metazoa; Chordata; Mammalia; Primates; Cebidae.